GUGAGGAAUAUUGGUCAAUGGGCGCAAGUCUGAACCAGCCAUGCCGCGUGCAGGAAGACGGUCCUAUGGAUUGUAAACUGCCUUUAUUUGGGAAUAAACUCCGGUACGUGUACCGGCCUGAAGGUACCAAAUGAAUAAGCACCGGCUAACUCCGUGCCAGCAGCCGCGGUAAUACGGAGGGUGCAAGCGUUAUCCGGAAUCAUCGGGUUUAAAGGGUCCGCAGGCGGUCUUAUAAGUCAGUGGUGAAAGCCUACAGCUCAACUGUAGAACUGCCAUUGAUACUGUAGGAGUUGAAUUCGAUCGAAGUGGGCGGAAUGUGACAUGUAGCGGUGAAAUGCUUAGAUAUGUCACAGAACACCGAUAGCGAAGGCAGCUCACUAGGUCUGGAUUGACGCUCAGGGACGAAAGCGUGGGGAGCAAACAGGAUUAGAAACCCUGGUAGUCC
Molecule: ribosomal RNA, 445 nt
Filed under: uncultured bacterium
Lineage: Bacteria
Description: partial 16S ribosomal RNA
Rfam family: Bacterial small subunit ribosomal RNA
Source: RNAcentral